This is a non-coding RNA of Ictidomys tridecemlineatus (thirteen-lined ground squirrel), 491 nucleotides long. Lineage: Eukaryota; Metazoa; Chordata; Mammalia; Rodentia; Sciuridae. The record is from RefSeq and is a predicted model, not a curated record.
UUUCAGUUCUCGGUAGAACCUUCAGAUGUGGAAGCCAUGGAUACAGAGGGUUAACUUGAGAGAAACGAUUUUCACAAAGAACUUAAAGGUCACCAAAAACAGCAGUGACAAGAUGAUCUCAAGGAACUGUCCGGUCUCAGCUCUGACACCAAGUCACCUUUGUGGGUUGCAUCUUCUCAAACAGCCAGAGCUGGGUAGUGCUGUGGAGUACUUAAGCCUCAAGGGGGCACUCAAAGCUUCCGUACUAGGGACUCAGGAGCAUCGAGCCAGGGCUUGUCCUCUGGAUAUCAGCACAGGCAGGGGAUUUUUGGAGAGAAAUAGGUGUUCCGGUGGAUAGACUGUGCUUAGGAAAAUUAAAUUUCUUUCUGCUAGUCUGGGCAUGUGGGAUAUUGAGAGAUGCAUUUGGGGACUUUGUUGAGGAAUUUUUUUUAACUUCUCAAUUUUUAUAAUUGAAUACAGCAAUUAAAUGCAUCUAUGGUUUUAAAAGUUAA